AGAGUUUGAUCCUGGCUCAGAAUGAACGCUGGCGGCGUGCCUAACACAUGCAAGUCGAACGAGAAAGCCCGCAAGGGUGAGUACAGUGGCGCACGGGUGAGUAAUACAUAGGAAUCUGCCUCUGAGUGGAGAAUACCCUGGAGAAAUUCAGGUUAAUACUGCAUAAGCCCGUAAGGGGAAAGGUGGCCUCAAGCUGCCGCUGAGAGAUGAGCCUGUGGCCUAUUAGCUAGUUGGUAGGGUAAAAGCCUACCAAGGCGAAGAUGGGUAACCGGCCUGAGAGGGUGUACGGUCACACUGGAACUGAGACACGGUCCAGACUCCUACGGGAGGCAGCAGUGGGGAAUCUUGCACAAUGGGCGAAAGCCUGAUGCAGCGACGCCGCGUGGAGGAUGACGAUCUUCGGAUUGUAAACUCCUGUUAAGUGGGAAGAAAGAUUCAUACCUAAUACGUAUGGAGGAUGACGGUACCACUAGAGAAAGCACCGGCAAACUUCGUGCCAGCAGCCGCGGUAAUACGAAGGGUGCGAGCGUUAUUCGGAAUAACUGGGCGUAAAGAGCGUGUCGGCGGUUUGUUAAGUCAACUGUAAAAGGGCUCGGCUUAACCGAGUAAAUGCGGGUGAAACUGGCAGACUAGAGUACGGGAGAGAAAGGUAGAAUUCUCGGAGUAGCGGUAAAAUGCGUAGAUCUCGAGAGGAAUACCGGUUGCGAAGGCGGCCUUUUGGCCCGUAACUGACGCUUAAGCGCGAAAGCGUGGGGAGCAAACAGGAUUAGAUACCCUGGUAGUCCACGCCGUAAACGAUGAUCACUAGAUGUGGGUCGUGCAUAGCAUGAUCCGUGUCGUAGCUAACGCGUUAAGUGAUCCGCCUGGGAAGUACGGUCGCAAGAUUAAAACUCAAAGGAAUUGACGGGGGUCCGCACAAGCGGUGGAACAUGUGGUUUAAUUCGACACUACGCGAGAAACCUUACCUGGGCUUGACAUGUAACUGCUACUGAUAGAAAUAUUGGAUUCCGUAGCAAUACGGACGGUUACACAGGUGCUGCAUGGCUGUCGUCAGCUCGUGUCGUGAGACGUCGGGUUAAGUCCUUGAACGAGCGCAACCCUUGCCGUUAGUUGCCUGUCGUAAGGCGGCACUCUAGCGGGACUGCCGUGGAAACACGGAGGAAGGUGGGGAUGACGUCAAGUCCUCAUGGCCCUUAUGCCCAGGGCUACACACGUGUUACAAUGGCGAGCAACAAAAGGAUGCGAUAUCGCGAGAUGGAGCAAAUCCCUAAAACUCGUCUAAGUUCGGAUUGUAGUCUGCAACCCGACUACAUGAAGCUGAAAUCGCUAGUAAUCGCAUAUCAUCACGAUGCGGUGAAUACGUUCUCGGACCUUGUACACACCGCCCGUCACACCAUGAGAGCCGUCGGCACCCGAAAUCAUUUUAGCUAACUGAGCAAUCAGGGGCGGAUGAUGAAGGUGAAGGGGGUGAUUGGGGUGAAGUCGUAACAAGG
Molecule: ribosomal RNA, 1493 nt
Filed under: metagenome
Description: bacterial SSU rRNA
Rfam family: Bacterial small subunit ribosomal RNA
Source: RNAcentral